Molecule: ribosomal RNA, 460 nt
Filed under: uncultured bacterium
Lineage: Bacteria
Description: partial 16S ribosomal RNA
Rfam family: Bacterial small subunit ribosomal RNA
Source: RNAcentral
CCUACGGGAGGCAGCAGUGAGGAAUAUUGGUCAAUGGACGAGAGUCUGAACCAGCCAAGUAGCGUGAAGGAUGACUGCCCUAUGGGUUGUAAACUUCUUUUAUAAAGGAAUAAAACGAGGCACGUGUGCCUUUUUGCAUGUACUUUAUGAAUAAGGAUCGGCUAACUCCGUUCCAGCAGCCGCGGUAAUACGGAGGAUCCGAGCGUUAUCCGGAUUUGUUGGGUUUAAAGGGAGCGUAGAUGGGUUGUUAAGUCAGUUGUGAAAGUUUGCGGCUCAACCGUAAAAUUGCAAUUGAUACUGGCAGUCUUGAGUACAGUUGAGGUAGGCGGAAUUCGUGGUGUAGCGGUGAAAUGCUUAGAUAUCACGAAGAACCCCGAUUGCGAAGGCAGCUUACUAAACUGUGACUGACAUUGAUGCUCGAAAGUGUGGGUAUCAAACAGGAUUAGAUACCCGGGUAGUC